CUCCCCCCCUCUCAGCGGCGCCGCCGGAAGUGGGCGGAGCCGCCGCCGCGAGGCGCGCGCCCUUCGACAACAGUUUAAUCCAAGUGCAAAUUGAUCCAAAAAUGAGCUCAUCAGGUAGCUGUAGAGAUGCAGGAGCCGGCCAGGACCCUGACGGGGCACCUUGCACCAGAAGAUUCCCAUGCCGGUGCAGCUAGGAGCCAAGAAGAUGGCCUGAGGACAGCUUGUGACGGUGUGCUUCUCCUGCUUCCCAACCUGACCUUUAACUCCCGUAACCCUGCCCGAGCGAUAACCACCCGUGGUCCGUCUGGUCGUGAUGGCAGCAUCCAGCUCAAAGUGGAUUGGGGGAGACAGACAACACCACAAUAGCCAAGGGCUAACUUGAUCAAUACACCCACCUAACCACAGUACGGGUACUGUGGCCGAUAUGUAAACAUGACUAUAAGUCAAUCAUCUUACCCCUAUAAAUAGCAAACAGCCCAAGAGCCCUUGGAGCUCUCCUGCACAGCAGCGGGCUGCACGCCAUGAUCUCCCCUUGAGUAGGGACACCUCUCAAGGUUACGCCUUGAGGUUCAGCGAUUCCUUGCUGCAACAGAUCCUCAGUAAGUGGCUAAUAGCAUGCCAAACUUUGAAGCUUCACUGAGAUUAUAUCUUAGUUUGAUAGUGCACAUGUACUUGAGACUUAAACCAUUGACCAUGUCUGGGACUAGAAUUGGAUCCAGCUGCACCUAGA
This is a long non-coding RNA of Chroicocephalus ridibundus (black-headed gull), 730 nucleotides long. RefSeq lists it as uncharacterized. The record is from RefSeq and is a predicted model, not a curated record. The transcript is spliced from 3 exons. Lineage: Eukaryota; Metazoa; Chordata; Aves; Charadriiformes; Laridae.